AGGUAUGUGUCCCUUGUUCAUCACUUUCCUUUCAUCCUUCCUAAUGCUGUAUGCUUGGUUCAAGAAGAUGCCCAUCCAAAUAGAGAUGGGAGAGAUAUUGUUCCAUCAAGGGCAUUUGAGUAGCCGUGUUCCCCUGCUGAAAUCUCCAGGUCAACUCUUAAGGUCUAUUUGUAAGAGAACACAAAGGUAGUCAGGUUUCCUUUUAUUAAAGUGUUUUAAAAUUAAAAAGCAUUAUUA
This 237-nucleotide small RNA is filed under the name Choloepus hoffmanni (Hoffmann's two-fingered sloth). RNAcentral describes it as "7SK RNA (ENSCHOG00000015721.1)". It matches the Rfam family "7SK RNA", at positions 77 to 331 of the family's 331-position model. From Rfam's summary of the family: 7SK was discovered as an abundant small nuclear RNA in the mid-70s but a possible function has only recently been suggested. Two independent studies have found that 7SK RNA binds the CDK9/cyclin T complex (known as elongation factor P-TEFb). Lineage: Eukaryota; Metazoa; Chordata; Mammalia; Pilosa; Megalonychidae. The record is from RNAcentral.